CUCUGUGAUAAAUGAAAUUAGAGAAGUUCCGAUACCAUUUUUUGCUUCCUGAUACCGAUUCCGAUACCUGAACUUGAAUCGGCCGAUACCGAGAACUGAUCCGAAACCAGUGUGUCAUAUAUUUGAUUAUGUUUUAACAGCUGUGUACUACGAUCCCUGUAUGGAUGUGGUAUGAUUUCUAUCUUUGUUGUCGGUCUGGCUCAGGUUAAAGUCUUUGU
Long non-coding RNA from Etheostoma spectabile (orangethroat darter), 218 nucleotides. RefSeq lists it as uncharacterized. The record is from RefSeq and is a predicted model, not a curated record. The transcript is spliced from 4 exons. NCBI's taxonomy places the organism in Eukaryota, Metazoa, Chordata, Actinopteri, Perciformes, Percidae.